AGAUUGAACGCUGGCGGCAUGCCUUACACAUGCAAGUCGAACGGCAGCGGGGGUAGCUUGCUACCUGCCGGCGAGUGGCGAACGGGUGAGUAAUACAUCGGAACGUGCCCUGUAGUGGGGGAUAACUAGUCGAAAGACUAGCUAAUACCGCAUACGACCUGAGGGUGAAAGUGGGGGACCGCAAGGCCUCAUGCUAUAGGAGCGGCCGAUGUCUGAUUAGCUAGUUGGUGGGGUAAAGGCCCACCAAGGCGACGAUCAGUAGCUGGUCUGAGAGGACGAUCAGCCACACUGGGACUGAGACACGGCCCAGACUCCUACGGGAGGCAGCAGUGGGGAAUUUUGGACAAUGGGGGCAACCCUGAUCCAGCAAUGCCGCGUGUGUGAAGAAGGCCUUCGGGUUGUAAAGCACUUUUGUCCGGAAAGAAAUCGCUUCGGUUAAUACCUGGAGUGGAUGACGGUACCGGAAGAAUAAGGACCGGCUAACUACGUGCCAGCAGCCGCGGUAAUACGUAGGGUCCAAGCGUUAAUCGGAAUUACUGGGCGUAAAGCGUGCGCAGGCGGUUGUGCAAGACCGAUGUGAAAUCCCCGGGCUUAACCUGGGAAUUGCAUUGGUGACUGCACAGCUAGAGUGUGUCAGAGGGAGGUAGAAUUCCACGUGUAGCAGUGAAAUGCGUAGAGAUGUGGAGGAAUACCGAUGGCGAAGGCAGC
Molecule: ribosomal RNA, 708 nt
Filed under: Ralstonia solanacearum
Lineage: Bacteria; Pseudomonadati; Pseudomonadota; Betaproteobacteria; Burkholderiales; Burkholderiaceae
Description: bacterial SSU rRNA
Rfam family: Bacterial small subunit ribosomal RNA
Source: RNAcentral